RNAcentral lists this ribosomal RNA (510 nucleotides) under uncultured bacterium. Its description in RNAcentral is "partial 16S ribosomal RNA". It matches the Rfam family "Bacterial small subunit ribosomal RNA", at positions 28 to 507 of the family's 1533-position model. The record is from RNAcentral.
GACGAACGCUGGCGGCGUGCUUAACACAUGCAAGUCGAACGAAGAGCGACGGAAGCUUGCUUCUAUCAAUCUUAGUGGCGAACGGGUGAGUAACGCGUAAUCAACCUGCCCUUCCGAGGGGGACAACAGUUGGAAACGACUGCUAAUACCACAUACGCUCUAAUCUCGGCAUCGAGGAUGGAUGAAAGGUGGCCUCUCCAUGUAAGCUGUCACUGCAGGAGGGGAUUGCGUCUGAUUAGCUAGUUGGCGGGGUAACGGCCCACCAAGGCGAUGAUCAGUAGCCGGUCUGAGAGGAUGAACGGCCACAUUGGGACUGAGACACGGCCCAGACUCCUACGGGAGGCAGCAGUGGGGAAUCUUCCGCAAUGGACGAAAGUCUGACGGAGCAACGCCGCGUGAGUGAUGACGGCCUUCGGGUUGUAAAGCUCUGUUAAUCGGGACGAAAGGCCUUCUUGCGAAUAGUGAGAAGGAUUGACGGUACCGGAAGAGAAAGCCACGGCUAACUACGUG